Long non-coding RNA from Cervus elaphus (red deer), 294 nucleotides. RefSeq lists it as uncharacterized. The transcript is spliced from 3 exons. The record is from RefSeq and is a predicted model, not a curated record. Lineage: Eukaryota; Metazoa; Chordata; Mammalia; Artiodactyla; Cervidae.
CCCCUGCUCCCCUCGAUGGCAGGAGAGAACGUGGAGCUUGGAGACGCGCCCCCUCGAGGGAGAACACCGCUGCUUCAGUCUCAACCUCUCCCUCCCGGAAAGCAGAUUCCAGAAUGCAACAGGAACAGGGGCAACCAGAAAGUCCCAAGUUUGACACCGAACUCCACCACCCGUCUCGGUUGGUUUGAGAACAGCGGUCCUCAGACCCCAGGCCUCAGGUGAGUGCUGGUCCCUGGCCAGUCACUCAGUCGUGUCCGACUCUCUGCAACCCCAUGGACUGCAGCACGCCAGGCC